Small nucleolar RNA from Hibiscus syriacus, 107 nucleotides. NCBI's taxonomy places the organism in Eukaryota, Viridiplantae, Streptophyta, Magnoliopsida, Malvales, Malvaceae. The record is from RefSeq and is a predicted model, not a curated record.
AAUCCAUGCAUAGGACACGUUCACAUCAAAUCUUUAAAUCUUUCCCAUGCUUCAAGCAAGCUUUCAUCGUCCAUCUGCUUGAAUUAAGUUAAAUCGUUUCGAAGCUU